AUGGCUGUCGUCAGCUCGUGCUGUGAAGUGUUGGGUUAAGUCCCGCAACGAGCGCAACCCUGCUGUCUGUUGCCACCACGAGAGGUGGGGACUCAGGCGGAACUGCCGGUGACAAACCGGAGGAAGGUGGGGACGACGUCAAGUCAUCAUGGCCCUUAUGUCCUGGGCUACACACGUGCUACAAUGGCCGGUACAGAGCGCAGCGAGGCCGCGAGGCGGAGCGAAUCGCUUAAAGCCGGUCCCAGUACGGAUUGGAGUCUGCAACCCGACUCCAUGAAGUUGGAAUCGCUAGUAAUCGCGCAUCAGCAUGGCGCGGUGAAUACGUUCCCGGGCCUU
This 336-nucleotide ribosomal RNA is filed under the name uncultured Spirochaeta sp. RNAcentral describes it as "bacterial SSU rRNA". It matches the Rfam family "Bacterial small subunit ribosomal RNA", at positions 1045 to 1382 of the family's 1533-position model. The record is from RNAcentral. Lineage: Bacteria; Pseudomonadati; Spirochaetota; Spirochaetia; Spirochaetales; Spirochaetaceae.